GACGAACCGUCCUAACGUUGUUCGGAUUCACUGGGCUUAAAGGGCGCGUAGGCGGACUGGUAAGUCCGGGGUGAAAUCUUUCGGCUCAACCGGAAAAGUGCCUUGGAAACUGCCAGUCUCGAGGGGGGUAGGGGCCUGUGGAACUUCGGGUGGAGCGGUGAAAUGCGUUGAUAUCCGAAGGAACGCCGGUGGCGAAAGCGACGGGCUGGACCCCUUCUGACGCUGAGGCGCGAAAGCCAGGGGAGCAAACGGG
Molecule: ribosomal RNA, 253 nt
Filed under: uncultured bacterium
Lineage: Bacteria
Description: partial 16S ribosomal RNA
Rfam family: Bacterial small subunit ribosomal RNA
Source: RNAcentral